RNAcentral lists this ribosomal RNA (429 nucleotides) under Bacteroidota bacterium. RNAcentral's name for it is "Bacteroidetes bacterium partial 16S ribosomal RNA". It matches the Rfam family "Bacterial small subunit ribosomal RNA", at positions 355 to 776 of the family's 1533-position model. The record is from RNAcentral. Lineage: Bacteria; Pseudomonadati; Bacteroidota.
UAGGGAAUCUUCCGCAAUGGACGCAAGUCUGACGGAGCAACGCCGCGUUAGUGAAGAAGGAUUUCGGUUCGUAAAACUCUGUUGUUAGAGAAGAACAGCGCAUAGAGUAACUGUUAUGCGUGUGACGGUAUCUAACCAGAAAGCCACGGCUAACUACGUGCCAGCAGCCGCGGUAAUACGUAGGUGGCAAGCGUUGUCCGGAUUUAUUGGGCGUAAAGCGAGCGCAGGCGGUCAAUUAAGUCUGAUGUGAAAGCCCCCGGCUCAACCGGGGAGGGUCAUUGGAAACUGGUUGACUUGAGUGCAGAAGAGGAGAGUGGAAUUCCAUGUGUAGCGGUGAAAUGCGUAGAUAUAUGGAGGAACACCAGUGGCGAAGGCGACUCUCUGGUCUGUAACUGACGCUGAGGCUCGAAAGCGUGGGUAGCAAACAGG